UCCAAAUUAUAUUACAACGUACUUGGAUUAUUACACACGAUCGAGGUUCUUUCGUGUUACAUAAAAAGACCAACAAAUUGAUGAACCGACCCAGAAUUUGGACAAGACAAACGGACACAUGGAAACGAUCUCACAAAGAUAAAUAGAUAAUGUGGAAUAUAAUAAUUCUCCCAGGCGCGUCACGGCAUCAUGGUGCUCCUGCAAGUCGGCAUGAACGACGAGGGUGAAUUAGAAUUAAAUCUAAACAAGAUGCUUGUUUGUACGUGAAGAGAUGUGGUGGGCGAGAUGUCAAUGGAAAUUAACCCCCCUUGGAGCCAAGCAGGUGCGUGGCCAUCCAGCUGCCCCGAGAGGUGGAUCGAUCUGUCCUUGCAUGAUAUGGAAUACUCCACUUAAGACAGUGGAACUACAGAAACCGCAGCAGCAGAGUUUAGGGAUGGGCACGGAUGGUCUCACACGUGAUUCGUGACCGACUCUAAUGUACAUAAAUAAACUAAUUUUUAUUUUAAAUGUUUUAAAAUAAUAUGUUAUUUAUUUAUUUAAAUUAGAGCGGUCUUAGAAUUACCCGUUAUCAUAUCUGUGUUCAUCGAAUUUAAUUUUUAAAGUUAUUUAUUUAUUAAACAUGAUCGAUCCGUGUCUAUAUAGAUUUGCUUAGUUUGUAAUCUAUAUUUUAUAUUAUAAAACUUUCUAAAUUUAUUUUAUAGCGUGAAACGGAGGUCGUCUACGGAAGAACAUACCUGAUAUGCUGUUGAGAAGUUAUUCGUGCAUGGUGGGAAGGGGGAGAUCGAAUCGAUUGACCUGAUCGAUCUGCGUGCGAUCAAUGGCUGAGAAAGAAGGCCCAGAACCCUCCGACGACCGUGGCG
This 860-nucleotide long non-coding RNA is filed under the name Oryza brachyantha (malo sina). Its description in RNAcentral is "long non-coding RNA (OBRA_LNC001569)". The record is from RNAcentral. Lineage: Eukaryota; Viridiplantae; Streptophyta; Magnoliopsida; Poales; Poaceae.